AUGUCGAGCUCCACUUCAGCCUCCCGCCCCUCGUGGACCCAGUAUGGUCCACUUCCCAUGGAGCGAUGUCCUGACGGCCCACGCAGCGCGCCACUGAUACAGUUGACUUCGAAGGAGGUCAAGAAUGGCAACUAUGGGCGCGAGUUCGUGAAAUGCGAGAGCAAGCCAGAGGGGCAGAUCAUGAAGAAAUGCACACAUUUUGAAUGGCUGGAUGACUACGUUAAGCGGAUUCAAUUCAAUGGGGCCCCAACCCGGGAGCUCAAUCUGCCGUCAGCAACAACCAAUUUGGUCUCUGAAAGUGCUGCUCUGACAGUUGGGGAUGCAUAUCUGAAGGGGAAAUAA
Molecule: ribosomal RNA, 342 nt
Filed under: Triticum aestivum (bread wheat)
Lineage: Eukaryota; Viridiplantae; Streptophyta; Magnoliopsida; Poales; Poaceae
Description: partial small subunit ribosomal RNA
Source: RNAcentral